This is a long non-coding RNA of Xenopus tropicalis (tropical clawed frog), 1416 nucleotides long. RefSeq lists it as uncharacterized. The transcript is spliced from 2 exons. NCBI's taxonomy places the organism in Eukaryota, Metazoa, Chordata, Amphibia, Anura, Pipidae. The record is from RefSeq and is a predicted model, not a curated record.
AGGCCAAAUAGGUGUUACACAUAUUAUAGUCUGUACAACUUUCUACAGGUUCUCUCAACUAGUGUAUCCCAUGCCAUGAAAUAUCUAAGCACAACUAAACUUGCUCUUACUGCUCUAUGUGUAGGAUUUAAUUCCUGUACUAAAAUUAAUAUUAUUUUAGUUUCUUUGUAUAAAGCUUGAAAGAACUAAUAAAUUACUUUAUUUGCAGGAUUUUGUGUUGCUGACAUAGGAAGGAAACCCACGCUAGGGAUGGAGGAGAGGAGGAAACUUCAUCUGAGGAAGAUGAGAAUGAAGAGACAGAGAAGUCAUCUAAUUAAACAGAACAGGCAUUUUAGAUGAUGAGGGAGAGGAGGAGGGCACCGCAUUUGAUAAGGAAGAAGAUUAUAUAGAAGCAAUAUCAGAUGUGGAAGACCAAUAAGUAGGGCCAACAUAAAAAGGGCCAACCAUAGCAUUAACUAAAUAAAACUGUAAACAUUGCUACAGCGUCUGCGUGAGUUAAAUCUAAAUCUGUAGACCGUUAUUGUAUGAAUAGUGAUGAGCAAAUCUGUCCCAUUUCCGAAAAUUGCCAUGACUGUGACAUUUGAUGUGACCGGAGUUUUUUUUUUGACCCACCUACGUCACAUGCAUGCUGAUAAUGACAUAUCUCCCAACAUUUGAAAAAUGAAAAGAGGGACAAAAAAGCAAAAAAGUCAAGUUAAUAUAAUCUAAACUUUGUAAAUUGGGUUUUACACAGGUCUUGCACCUCUUUUCACUGUUGCUGAUGCUGAGUCAUUGUGUUUGGGCUAUGAAGGAGUUUGAUUGUUCAUAACUGUCUUAUUAGAGUUACAGAAUUUUCUAUUGCCUUUUUAUACUAAUCUUUCCUAGUUAAUGGGACACAAUUGUUUUAAAUUUUUACUUUUAUUUAUUUUUUGUCAGUGCAUUCACGUGCAUCCGUACCCCAGAAAGGUGGCAAAAAUGCUGGGAAAAAGAAAGAAAAAGAAAUAGAAAAUAAAAUGCCAUUAACAACAACAACUCAUAUCACUUCGACAGUGGCAACAACAGCAGUAAAUGAAAGGGAUUUUAUCAUCUUAUACAUCCUCCUAAAACUUCAAGGGAAUAUGAAGACUUUUAUUAUAGUGAUAUCUGUUGGAGUUUUCCUCCUUGCAUGGAUUUUGUGUUGCUGACAUAGGAAGGAAACCCACGCUAGGGAUGGAGGAGAGGAGGAAACUUCAUCUGAGGAAGAUGAGAAUGAAGAGACAGAGAAGUCAUCUAAUUAAACAGAACAGACAUUUUAGAUGAUGAGGGAGAGGAGGAGGGCACCGCAUUUGAUAAGGAAGAAGAUUAUAUAGAAGCAAUAUCAGAUGUGGAAGACCAAUAAGUAGGGCCGACAUAAAAAGGGCCAACCAUAGCAUUAACUAAAUAAAACUGUAAACAUUG